AAAAAAAGCUUAAGCUAGCAAAGUACAGUAAGUAAGCAGUUUAUUCUUUGUUAUAAAAUGACCUGUAUUGUUGUUUGCAACAUGCUUUCUAUAUUUGACACACCAUCUGUAGGUAAAAGAAACAGAUAGUUGGAAUUGAAAGGACAGAAGCAACAAAAUUGUGGCUUGUACAACCGCAUUUUUGCCUAUUCAUUUGCUAUAUACAUAGUAAGAAUGUUCGUCUUUAUUUUCUUAAAACCUUUUGCUUUAUGUUCUUAACACAUAUAUUUUAGUAUCAAUUUAUGAUCGUAAAAUGUAUUGUAAAUGACGGUUGCAUGCUAGUGUUUAUCCAUCUCUUUACUAUUUGAUUGCUAGUUAACUAUAUUAUUACUUUAUAAAAUUGUGUUCCCUUUCAGCAUUGUGGAAUUAUUAUUGAGUUGUUUGUUGGUUAGUUGUUGAGCACAGUUUUGUAUGUAUGUUUCUCUUGUUGUUUUUUUUAUUUGGUUUCCUUGCAGUGCAAAAAGCUUAAGCUAGCAAAGUACAGUAAGUAAGCAGUUUAUUCUUUGUUAUAAAAUGACCUGUAUUGUUGUUUGCAACAUGCUUUCUAUAUUUGACACACCAUCUGUAGGUAAAAGAAACAGAUAGUUGGAAUUGAAAGGACAGAAGCAACAAAAUUAUGGCUUGUACAACCGCAUUUUUGCCUAUUCAUUUGCUAUAUACAUAGUAAGAAUGUUCGUCUUUAUUUUCUUAAAACCUUUUGCCUUAUUUUCUUAACACAUAUA
This 761-nucleotide long non-coding RNA is filed under the name Octopus sinensis (East Asian common octopus). RNAcentral describes it as "uncharacterized LOC118764355, transcript variant X2". Lineage: Eukaryota; Metazoa; Mollusca; Cephalopoda; Octopoda; Octopodidae. The record is from RNAcentral.